RNAcentral lists this ribosomal RNA (274 nucleotides) under uncultured bacterium. Its description in RNAcentral is "partial 16S ribosomal RNA". It matches the Rfam family "Bacterial small subunit ribosomal RNA", at positions 523 to 796 of the family's 1533-position model. The record is from RNAcentral.
AUACGAAAGGUGCAAGCGUUGUUCGGAUUUACUGGGCGUAAAGAGAUCGUAGGUGGUUUGUUAAGUUGGAUGUGAAAUCCCGGGGCUCAACCUCGGAACUGCAUCCAAAACUGGCAGACUUGAGUUCGGGAGGGGUAAGCGGAAUUCCGUGUGUAGCAGUGAAAUGCGUAGAUAUACGGAGGAACACCUGAGGCGAAGGUGGCUUACUGGACCGAUACUGACACUGAGGAUCGAAAGCGUGGGUAGCAAACAGGAUUAGAAACCCCAGUAGUCC